Molecule: ribosomal RNA, 492 nt
Filed under: uncultured bacterium
Lineage: Bacteria
Description: partial 16S ribosomal RNA
Rfam family: Bacterial small subunit ribosomal RNA
Source: RNAcentral
AGUGAACGCUGGCGGUAGGCCUAACACAUGCAAGUCGAACGGCAGCACAGUAAGAGCUUGCUCUUACGGGUGGCGAGUGGCGGACGGGUGAGGAAUACAUCGGAAUCUACUUUUUCGUGGGGGAUAACGUAGGGAAACUUACGCUAAUACCGCAUACGACCUACGGGUGAAAGCAGGGGAUCUUCGGACCUUGCGCGAUUGAAUGAGCCGAUGUCGGAUUAGUUAGUUGGCGGGGUAAAGGCCCACCAAGGCGACGAUCCGUAGCUGGUCUGAGAGGAUGAUAAGCCACACUGGAACUGAAACACGGUCCAGACUCCUACGGGAGGCAGCAGUGGGGAAUGUUGGACAAUGGGGGCAAGCCUGAUCCAGCCAUACCGCGUGGGUGGAGAAGGCCUUCGGGUUGUAAAGCCCUUUUGUUGGGAGAGAAAAGCAGCAGGUUAAUACCCCGCUGUUCUGACGGUACCCAAAGAAUAAGCACCGGCUAACUUCGUG